UCGACAAUGCCAAGAGGCAGAUAUUUGUUUAACUUUAAAACCUGACUAUUGGUACAAUUUUGAUCCCUGACUUUAAGAACGAGAGAAAAUGUUGCUAUUCAGAAGACCAAGCAGCCUAGGAUGGCUUAAUGAUAGAACUCUCACACGCAAGUUAGAAUUUAUAUGGAAAAAGAUUGACCACCAUGCUGGGUGUCAGACAUAUUUUCUUGGAGGGGCACUAGCAAUUUGAUUGAAUUGGAUAUAAUUAACUGAAGCAUCAAGUAACCAUUAAAUACAGUGAAACAGCACAUGGCACAACCACUCUGCCUAAACGACAGGAAAACAGACAAAUCAAGGUUCGUACUAGUACUACGGACUAAUUAAUCAUUCCAACCACCCGAUUAACAAUGAAAAGUUUGCUGGCCGGCGGUGAUGGAAUGUUAACUUAUGAUGAAUUGACUCUCUGCAGGUUUGAUCUGAAGGUGACUGGUGAAGAACCCUUGAAAAAACAAACAAGUGUCACUUCUUGAAUAGAGCGAACAUAUUUGACACAGCAACUGACUUGAGGAGGCUGAAUCCUUAUCCUUUACUGCACUGUUUUUGUGUAGCAAACAAACAAGUACUCAAAGCAUUUAUUGCGGUAUUUGCUGAAAAGAGUGAGUAUACUAUUUACUGCAGAUAAGUCUAGCAAACAGAUAGGGUCACCACAUCCGGCGCCCAUAGCAUCUGCACAAUUGCAGGUAUAUAGAGAAUUAGAGAUGCAAGAAGACUGGCUGCAUAAGUCUAGAUAGCAUAAUCGCUGAUGAUUACUCCAGGUAACAGCGAGGCAGGCGGUUAAGCCUUGAGGUGGUUUGCAUCUAUCAAGCCUAGUUAAAUUUAACUUUGAGAUUAGUAGUUGCGCACAUGGCUGUCGACCAACUUAAUUUGGCUCUGAGCUUAUUUUUCCACAUGGCCAGUCCCAAUGUCGACAACGCCAAGAGGCAGAGAUUGGUUUAAUUUUACCAACCGACUGUUUUUAGUUUUACGACCUGACUUUGGGAUCAGUUUAGCUGGGUCUGAUUUUAAUCUUCGGUCGCAGAAAAACUGUGGAGAGGAGGUGUAGUAAUUUUACCAACGCGAGUAGUUUAGCUAGAUAUUACUACUUAUUCGCGACAACGCCAAAGCAAAUCGACUCUGUUAACGGUAGUAAUGCGCAAUGUAAAACAGGAGCUGUACCUUCAGUGCCGAGGUGGGUGGGGAGCUCGCGGGAGGCUGCGACCAUGUCGGCCUUCACACAGAAGCCUCCGCCGCCGUGCUUCGCCGCGACCCGACCACCGAAGCCACGAUGCAAUCCGAACUACCGGCCGCAGUCAGGUCGCCACCGCAACCCGACCACCCGAG
This 1359-nucleotide long non-coding RNA is filed under the name Triticum aestivum (bread wheat). RNAcentral's name for it is "long non-coding RNA (TAES_LNC009611)". The record is from RNAcentral. Lineage: Eukaryota; Viridiplantae; Streptophyta; Magnoliopsida; Poales; Poaceae.